AUUUCUCUGAGAUGUUUGCAAGCGGGCCAGUCCCCUGAGCCGAUAUUUCAUACCACAAGAAUGUGGCGCUCCGCGGUUGGUGAGCAUGCUCGGUUCGUCCGAGAAGCCUUAAAACUGUGACGACACAUUCACUUUGAACCAAGGGUUCAAGGGUUACAGCCUGCGGCGGCAUCUCGGAGAUUCC
Molecule: non-coding RNA, 184 nt
Filed under: Salmonella enterica
Lineage: Bacteria; Pseudomonadati; Pseudomonadota; Gammaproteobacteria; Enterobacterales; Enterobacteriaceae
Also listed under: 1 other name
Description: 6S RNA
Rfam family: 6S / SsrS RNA
About the family: E. coli 6S RNA was the first non coding RNA to be sequenced, but its function was unknown until recently. It consists of 184 nucleotides that fold into an extended hairpin structure with a large single-stranded internal bulge. The 6S RNA specifically associates with RNA polymerase holoenzyme containing the sigma70 specificity factor.
Source: RNAcentral